Molecule: RNA transcript, 2904 nt
Organism: Oncorhynchus masou masou (cherry salmon)
Lineage: Eukaryota; Metazoa; Chordata; Actinopteri; Salmoniformes; Salmonidae
Gene: rdm1
Gene name: RAD52 motif containing 1
Exons: 8
Source: RefSeq, a predicted model, not a curated record
AUCAAAUGCUCUUGUGCGGAAGUCAACGUAAACGUCAUAUCAAAUUUUCUGCGAUAAAUUGAUUCAUACUAUCCUCCAUAAAAUACUUUACUAGGAGGACAAUAAUACCAACCUACAACAUUGAAACCAUUUCGUGCAACGCUGUUGGCGGAGCAGAGUAGUAGCCUACAGUAAUAAUGGUUCUCUAGCCAGAAUUCACUACUGCAAUGGAGGUCGAGGUGGACGUAAUAGAGUUCAGGGUACCCAUUGAAAAUAACAAAACACUGUUUGUCUGGAAUAUUCUAUCCACAUUUUCAGACGCGUUUAUUUACGAAUCCAUCUGGAACAUAUUCUGCAACUUUGGACCGCUGUAUCUGGUAAAGGUGUGUCCCAAUGCUGCCGGGGUGGAGCCAGGGUUCUAUGCCCUAGUCAAGUACUUCUCCGCAGCCCAGGCAUCUAAAGCACAGAAAGCCACACAUGGAAGAGGCUUUUUCCAGAGCUCUCCUUUGAAGGUAAAGCUGAGCACAAAGCAGUACCCAAACUUCCUUCACAACUCUAAGCCACUGAGCCGUAGCAAGUGUCAGGACUUGGCCAACCACUACCUGGGUUUUAAUGGAUGGAGCACCCACAUUGUUACACUGAAGGACAUCUCCAACUGUGACGAAUCCGGCAGGUUGUCCACCACAACUGGUGACCCUCAGGAGAUUACCCUGAAGUACGGCUGCAUCAUGGAUGUCACCUUCCCACAGCAUGGCCUUAGCUGCCGAGGCGUCGGAGUGGCUGAAGAGACCAUAGAGGGCACCGGUCCAGAUGUUGUCCUGCCAAAAAGAGGAAAGCUCCAGAGAUGGGCCAGGGACAAAGCAGUGGUUGACGCUUUCGAGAAGGUGUUGCUGCUGGUUCUGGGAAAUGGGAAAGUUGUCGUUGAAUGCAGGGUGGAGCGAGAUGAUGUCCUACAAGAUGAGGAUCUGAAAGGACUCAUAAAGGUUAAUGACAUUCCCUGGAGCCAAUUUGACCCUGAUAGCCAGGAGGAAAAUGAGGAUAUAGCAUGGGACCUCAGUAUCAACAUGUGACAUGUACCUGGAGACAGUUUAUCUGUGUUCACUUGCACUCACUGUGUUUAAGUCGGUGCCAUGGAACAACUUUGCAUUUCCCGUUAAACAUUUUUCAGGUGCAGGGUGUGUCAUUCUGUUUACCCGUCUGGCGCCAUUAUACAUAAAUCCUCUGAUUCUCUUUGAGCUCAACUGGCCCUCAGUCAAAUCUCACCAUUUAGACAUGAUCAGACUACACCUGGCUGUGACCUGACAUGAACCCUACAGCAAUAGGCUACAUGCAUGUACAGUGCCUUCAGAAAGUCUUCACACCCCUUUUACCUUUUCCACAUUUUGCUGUGUUACAUCCCGAAUUGAUCAAAUGUAGAUGUUUUGUCACUGGCCUACACACAAUACCCCAUAAUGUCAAAUUGGAAUUGUGUUUUUCUAUUAUUAUUUUUUUUACAAAUUAAUAAAAAAUGAAAAGCUUGAAUGUCUGGUACUGGUAAAAUAGCGCCGACGAAUAGGGCUGCCAUGCUUAGCUCUUAGGAAACUUUGCAGUAUUAAUUUUUUUGAUGUGUUAUUUCUUACGUUAAUAGCCCAGGAAAUUUUGGGUGUUAUUACAUACCGCCGGGAAGAACUUUUGCAUAUCAGGGCGACGGUAACUCACCAGCAUUACGACCAGGAAUACGACUUUCUGAUCCUUUGUUUGUAACCCCACCCCCCUCCCACCAUGGCAAUUGAACGCUGUUUCAAAACACCACCGGAGGUGAGCACACCACCCACUGCUUCAGAGUAUAUUACUCGCUAAUGUUCAGUCUCUGGAUAAUAAAUUUGACUAGCUCAGGCCGAGGAUUUCCUUCCAGAGAGACACCGGGGAUUGUAAAAUACUCUGUUUCACAGGACUGGGAUAUGUUCCGGGUAGCCUCUGAGAAUAAUGUAGACGAAUGCACUGAUGCGGUGGCUGAGUUCAUCAGGAAGUGUAUAAAAGAUGUUGUACCACUGGGACUAAUUAAACCUAUUCUAAUCAGAAACCGUGGCUAGAUGGCAGCAUUCACGCAAGACUGAAAGGGCGAACCAUCGCAUUUAACCAUGGCAAGGUGACUGGGAAUAUGGCCGAAUACAAACAGUGUUGUUAUUCCCUCUGUAAGGCAUUCAAACAGGCAAAACGUCAGAACAGAGACAAAGUGGAGUUGCAAUUCAACGGCUCAGACACAAGAUGUAUGUGGCAGGGUCUACAGGCAAUCGGACUACAAAGGGGAAAUCAGCCACGUCGCGGACACUGACUUCUUGCUUCUGGACAAGCUAAACACCUUUGCCCGCUUUGAGGAUAACACAGUGCCACCGACACGGCCGCUACCAAUGACUGUGGGCUCUCCUUCUCCGUGGCCGACGUGAGUAAGACAUGUAAGCAUGUUAACCCUUGCAAGGCUGCCGUCCAGGAUGAUAUCCCUAGCCGCGUCCACAGAGCAUGCGCAGAUCAGCGGGCUGGAGUGUUUACAGACAUAUUCAAUCUCUCCCUAUCCCAGUUUGUUGUCCCCACAUGUUUCAAGAUGCCCACCAUUGUUCCUGUACUCAAGAAAGCAAAGGUAACUGAACUAAAUGACUAUUGCCCAGUAGCACUCCCUUGGGUCAUCAUGAAGUGCUUUGAUGACAACAAACAAAGUAUUCAACCUCUUUGUUGUGGCAAGACUAAAUAAGUUCAGGAGUUAAAAAUAUGCUUAACAUAAUAAGUUGCAUGACUAUGUAUUUAAUUUCUAAAUAAAUUUGAACAAAAAUCUAAAAACAGGUUUUCACUUUGUCAUUAUGGGGUAUUUUGUGUAGAUAGUUUCCCCUCACCUAUGUAAUCAAUUUUGAAGUCAGGUUGUAACGUGUUCACGCUACACGUUCCCCAAGG